UUAAUUUGAGAGUUUGAUCCUGGCUCAGGACGAACGCUGGCGGCGUGCCUAAUACAUGCAAGUCGAACGAACUCUGGUAUUGAUUGGUGCUUGCAUCAUGAUUUACAUUUGAGUGAGUGGCGAACUGGUGAGUAACACGUGGGAAACCUGCCCAGAAGCGGGGGAUAACACCUGGAAACAGAUGCUAAUACCGCAUAACAACUUGGACCGCAUGGUCCGAGUUUGAAAGAUGGCUUUGGCUAUCACUUUUGGAUGGUCCCGCGGCGUAUUAGCUAGAUGGUGGGGUAACGGCUCACCAUGGCAAUGAUACGUAGCCGACCUGAGAGGGUAAUCGGCCACAUUGGGACUGAGACACGGCCCAAACUCCUACGGGAGGCAGCAGUAGGGAAUCUUCCACAAUGGACGAAAGUCUGAUGGAGCAACGCCGCGUGAGUGAAGAAGGGUUUCGGCUCGUAAAACUCUGUUGUUAAAGAAGAACAUAUCUGAGAGUAACUGUUCAGGUAUUGACGGUAUUUAACCAGAAAGCCACGGCUAACUACGUGCCAGCAGCCGCGGUAAUACGUAGGUGGCAAGCGUUGUCCGGAUUUAUUGGGCGUAAAGCGAGCGCAGGCGGUUUUUUAAGUCUGAUGUGAAAGCCUUCGGCUCAACCGAAGAAGUGCAUCGGAAACUGGGAAACUUGAGUGCAGAAGAGGACAGUGGAACUCCAUGUGUAGCGGUGAAAUGCGUAGAUAUAUGGAAGAACACCAGUGGCGAAGGCGGCUGUCUGGUCUGUAACUGACGCUGAGGCUCGAAAGUAUGGGUAGCAAACAGGAUUAGAUACCCUGGUAGUCCAUACCGUAAACGAUGAAUGCUAAGUGUUGGAGGGUUUCCGCCCUUCAGUGCUGCAGCUAACGCAUUAAGCAUUCCGCCUGGGGAGUACGGCCGCAAGGCUGAAACUCAAAGGAAUUGACGGGGGCCCGCACAAGCGGUGGAGCAUGUGGUUUAAUUCGAAGCUACGCGAAGAACCUUACCAGGUCUUGACAUACUAUGAAAAUCUAAGAGAUUAGACGUUCCCUUCGGGGACAUGGAUACAGGUGGUGCAUGGUUGUCGUCAGCUCGUGUCGUGAGAUGUUGGGUUAAGUCCCGCAACGAGCGCAACCCUUAUUAUCAGUUGCCAGCAUUAAGUUGGGCACUCUGGUGAGACUGCCGGUGACAAACCGGAGGAAGGUGGGGAUGACGUCAAAUCAUCAUGCCCCUUAUGACCUGGGCUACACACGUGCUACAAUGGAUGGUACAACGAGUUGCGAACUCGCGAGAGUAAGCUAAUCUCUUAAAGCCAUUCUCAGUUCGGAUUGUAGGCUGCAACUCGCCUACAUGAAGUCGGAAUCGCUAGUAAUCGCGGAUCAGCAUGCCGCGGUGAAUACGUUCCCGGGCCUUGUACACACCGCCCGUCACACCAUGAGAGUUUGUAACACCCAAAGUCGGUGGGGUAACCUUUUAGGAACCAGCCGCCUAAGGUGGGACAGAUGAUUAGGGUGAAGUCGUAACAAGGUAGCCGUAGGAGAACCUGCGGCUGGAUCACCUCCUUUCUAAGGAA
Molecule: ribosomal RNA, 1576 nt
Filed under: Lactiplantibacillus argentoratensis
Lineage: Bacteria; Bacillati; Bacillota; Bacilli; Lactobacillales; Lactobacillaceae
Description: Lactobacillus plantarum subsp. argentoratensis 16S ribosomal RNA
Rfam family: Bacterial small subunit ribosomal RNA
Source: RNAcentral